This 497-nucleotide ribosomal RNA is filed under the name uncultured bacterium. RNAcentral describes it as "partial 16S ribosomal RNA". It matches the Rfam family "Bacterial small subunit ribosomal RNA", at positions 28 to 507 of the family's 1533-position model. The record is from RNAcentral.
GAUGAACGCUGGCGGCGUGCCUAAUACAUGCAAGUCGAGCGAACAGAUGAGGAGCUUGCUCCUCUGACGUUAGCGGCGGACGGGUGAGUAACACGUGGAUAACCUACCUAUAAGACUGGGAUAACUUCGGGAAACCGGAGCUAAUACCGGAUAAUAUAUUGAACCGCAUGGUUCAAUAGUGAAAGACGGUUUUGCUGUCACUUAUAGAUGGAUCCGCGCCGCAUUAGCUAGUUGGUAAGGUAACGGCUUACCAAGGCAACGAUGCGUAGCCGACCUGAGAGGGUGAUCGGCCACACUGGAACAGAAACACGGUCCAGACUCCUACGGGAGGCAGCAGUAGGGAAUCUUCCGCAAUGGGCGAAAGCCUGACGGAGCAACGCCGCGUGAGUGAUGAAGGUCUUCGGAUCGUAAAACUCUGUUAUUAGGGAAGAACAAAUGUGUAAGUAACUAUGCACGUCUUGACGGUACCUAAUCAGAAAGCCACGGCUAACUACGUG